Molecule: ribosomal RNA, 423 nt
Filed under: uncultured bacterium
Lineage: Bacteria
Description: bacterial SSU rRNA
Rfam family: Bacterial small subunit ribosomal RNA
Source: RNAcentral
AUCUUGGACACUGGGGGAAACCCUGAUCCAGCCAUGCCGCGUGUGUGAAGAAGGCCUUCGGGUUGUAAAGCACUUUUGUUGGGGAAGAAAAGCCAUGGGUUAAUACCCUGUGGUUCUGACGGUACCCAAAGAAUAAGCACCGGCUAACUUCGUGCCAGCAGCCGCGGUAAUACGAAGGGUGCAAGCGUUACUCGGAAUUACUGGGCGUAAAGCGUGCGUAGGUGGGUUGUUAAGUCUGAUGUGAAAGCCCUGGGCUCAACCUGGGAAUGGCAUUGGAUACUGGCAGGCUAGAGUGCGGUAGAGGGUAGUGGAAUUCCCGGUGUAGCAGUGAAAUGCGUAGAGAUCGGGAGGAACAUCUGUGGCGAAGGCGACUACCUGGACCAGCACUGACACUGAGGCACGAAAGCGUGGGGAGCAAACAGG